CCGGCGUACGGGUGAGUAACGCGUAUCCAACCUGCCCUUUACUAUGGGACAGCCCGUCGAAAGGCGGAUUAAUACCGUAUGUUGUCAUGUUGAUGCAUAUUUUCAUGACCAAAGGCUUCGGCCGGUACAGGAUGGGCCCGCGUCUGAUUAGCCAGUUGGCAGGGUAACGGCCUACCAAAGCGACGAUCAGUAGCCGGCUUGAGAGAGUGAACGGCCACAUUGGGACUGAGACACGGCCCAAACUCCUACGGGAGGCAGCAG
This 261-nucleotide ribosomal RNA is filed under the name uncultured bacterium. Its description in RNAcentral is "partial 16S ribosomal RNA". It matches the Rfam family "Bacterial small subunit ribosomal RNA", at positions 95 to 354 of the family's 1533-position model. The record is from RNAcentral.